CCUAGCAGUCGAUGAUAUUGUCCUGUCACAGCAGUACUUUUUGCCUAGUUUACUGUUGUUUCGGGACAUUUCCAUCGACGCUAGGGUUUUCAU
This 93-nucleotide microRNA precursor is filed under the name Anopheles gambiae (African malaria mosquito). RNAcentral's name for it is "microRNA aga-mir-1000 precursor". The stretch from base 8 to 79 matches the Rfam family "mir-1000 microRNA precursor family". The record is from miRBase by way of RNAcentral. Lineage: Eukaryota; Metazoa; Arthropoda; Insecta; Diptera; Culicidae.